This is a long non-coding RNA of Homo sapiens (human), 228 nucleotides long. RefSeq lists it as uncharacterized. The record is from RefSeq and is a predicted model, not a curated record. Lineage: Eukaryota; Metazoa; Chordata; Mammalia; Primates; Hominidae. The transcript is spliced from 3 exons.
CUGGGUAAACCAGCACGAUCAUUUGACCAUGAUGACAAAAGGACUCUACCCAGCCUCCUUGGCAACUCUCUUUGAAUCAGUAAAGGAAUUAGAUUAUCUCCAGAAGCAAAGGAAAUGUAAAGAAAUGGACAGGUUACUUUCAGGAUUAAUUCCAGUGGCCUCAUUAAUCGCACUCCUGUGGACUCUCUUGGGCCCAUCAAUGCUUUUCUGGGCUGAGCCACAAAGAAC